This 413-nucleotide small nuclear RNA is filed under the name Cryptosporidium parvum. Lineage: Eukaryota; Apicomplexa; Conoidasida; Eucoccidiorida; Cryptosporidiidae. The record is from RNAcentral.
AGCUAUUUAUCUGUAUAUUUAUGAAAGCUUGAUAGGCUGAUGAAAGAUAACAUCAUGUCCGAGAAUGACUCAGGCCAUAUUUCAACAGAAAAUCUGUUAAAUAAUAAUAACCAGGAAAAGGAUUUGUCAAUAGACGAUAAUAAUGUUGCAAAUACGCCAUCAGAUGAUUUUGGACAUAAAGAAGAGGUUACUCAGGAUUCUAGUCCAGUAUCGCUAAAUUCAUCGCCAAUGCAAGAGCAUAAAAGUGAGGUUGAGGAUAUAAAGGGAGAAAUUGCUCAAACAGAAAAGUUUGAUGAGUCGGUUUCCACUGAAACAAAUGAUGCAAAACAAGAAAAUUUGGAUGAAGUUAAGGAAGAUAAUACCACAGAAGGUAACCCUAUGCAAGAUGAGACCAAUGAUUCAAAUAUAGAGUU